This 65-nucleotide ribosomal RNA is filed under the name Bacillus amyloliquefaciens. Its description in RNAcentral is "partial 23S ribosomal RNA". Lineage: Bacteria; Bacillati; Bacillota; Bacilli; Caryophanales; Bacillaceae. The record is from RNAcentral.
UUAAGUUAGAAAGGGCAGCAGGUGGAUGCCUUGGCACUAGGAGCCGAUGAAGGACGGGACGAACA